UUUUUUUUUUUUUCCUGAGACAGUCUCGCUCUGUUGCCCAGGCUGGAGUGCAGUGGCUGGGUCUUGGCUCGCUGCAGUCUCUGUCUCCUGGGCUCAAGUGAUUCUCCUGCCUCAGCCUCCUGAGUAGCUGGGAUUGCAGGCACAUGCCACCAUGCGCGGCUAAUUUUUAUAUUUCUUGGUAGAGAUGGGAUUUUAGAAUGUUGGUCAGGCUGUUCUCGAACUCCUGACCUCGUGAUCUGCCUGCCUUGGUCUCCCAAAGUGCUGGAAUUACAGGCGUGAACCACUGUGCCCGGCCUGACUGUGCUUCUGUAGUGUUACUAUCACAUAUGAAAAUAAGUUCUAUCAGAAAAGGUUUAUCCUUCACAGUGUUAAUCACAUCAACAUUUAGCAAUGCUGGGACUGAGUUAUUUUCUACUGUAUAGGAUGAUGGAUUAUUCUCCUUCCAUCUCUAGGACCUAGCACAGAACUCUGUUUUAACUUAGGUUUUUUUUUUUGUUUGAGAGGGACUCUCACUCUGUCACCCAGGCUGGAGUGCAGUGGCACAAUCUCAACUAACUGCCACCUAGGUUCAAACAAUUCUCAUGCCUCAGCCUCCCAAGUAGCUGGGAUUACAGACGUGUGACCAGGCCUGGUUGAUUUUUUGUAUUUUUAGUAGAGACAGGAUUUUGCUAUGUAGGUCAGGCUGGUCUUGAACUCCUGGCCUCAAGUGAUUUGCCCACCUUGGCCUCCAAAGUACUGAGAUUAUAGUGUUCUCACUUAGCAUUUUAUUCCUUCUACAACAUAAAUGCAAUAAGUAUUUAUUGACUAUUCCUUUCUUGCCUAAGCAUUGUUGUGGGUAAUAGUGAACAAAUAGAUACAACUUCCUGUCUUCGUGAAACUAACACUUUAGUAGGAGGAAACACAAAGGAUAAAUAUAAAAAUGUGUAGUUUCCUUGAAGAUGAUUUCCUCUCUCUUCACUCAUUUGCUCCACAAAUACAUAUAUAUCCAUGCCAAGGUCUAGGCACUCUGCCUCCAUCAGAGGUAAAGAUAUGGAAAGAGAAAUGAUCACAAAACUAGAGUAUGGCAUUACUCAGUGCUUGUGUGAAGUACUGUUAACUGCAGGAAAUCCUUAUACUUUUUGGAACUAAUGUUCUAGAAGUUUUUCUUUUCCACUUCAAUCAAAUGCUUAUUCAGGCUGGGCACGGUGGCUCACGCCUGUAAUCCCAGCACUUUGGGAGGCCGAGGCAGGCGGAUCGCGAGAUCAGGGGAUCAACACCAUCCUGGCCAAAAUGGUGAAACUUCGUCUGUGCUAAAAAUACAAAAAUUAGCUGGGUGUGGUGGUGCGUGCCUGUAAUCCCAGCUACUCAGGAGGCUAAGACAGGAGAACCGCUUAAACCAGGGAGUUAGAGGUUGCAGUGAGCUGAGAUC
RNAcentral lists this long non-coding RNA (1408 nucleotides) under Macaca fascicularis (crab-eating macaque). RNAcentral describes it as "lncRNA (ENSMFAG00000060004.1)". The record is from RNAcentral. Lineage: Eukaryota; Metazoa; Chordata; Mammalia; Primates; Cercopithecidae.